RNAcentral lists this transfer RNA (73 nucleotides) under Candidatus Sungiibacteriota bacterium. Its description in RNAcentral is "Candidatus Sungbacteria bacterium tRNA-Thr". It matches the Rfam family "tRNA". Rfam says of the family: Transfer RNA (tRNA) molecules are approximately 80 nucleotides in length. The record is from RNAcentral. Lineage: Bacteria; Candidatus Sungiibacteriota.
GCCCAAGUAGCUCAGUUGGUAGAGCACGAUCAUGGUAAGAUCGGGGUCCGCGGUUCGAUUCCGCGCUUGGGCU